This 323-nucleotide long non-coding RNA is filed under the name Cotesia glomerata. RNAcentral's name for it is "uncharacterized LOC123269875, transcript variant X1". The record is from RNAcentral. Lineage: Eukaryota; Metazoa; Arthropoda; Insecta; Hymenoptera; Braconidae.
AUUAAUAGCCUAGUGUAGCGUUAAAUUUCUUAAUAAUAAAAUCACGAUACCAAGAAUUCGUAUUGGCUCUGCAUAUAUAUACCCCUGUGCAGCGGAACGCCGCUGCCAUUUUGCACCAGGACGCUUAAAUAAGAUUUCAGAUCGGUAGUUCAGGCUCCACUGGCUGUACGUCAAUUAAAUUGGUAUUUCGCAACGCUCAUUUCUAUCGGCGCCUAAUUUAUUUAGACAUUUCAGAAUGAGCGGCAUGAGAAAACGGACAACUACGUUGACGUCUACUGAGUGCAAAGAAAUACAUGACCAGUGGAAGUGCAAAUCGGCUGAAG